CGCUGGCGGCGUGCCUAACACACGCAAGUCGAACGAGGUCCAAGGAAGCUUGCUUCCUGAAGACCUAGUGGCGAACGGGUGAGUAACACGUGAGAAACCUGCCUCGGAGUGGGGAAUAACUCGGGGAAACUCGAGCUAAUACCGCAUACCUUCACAUGAUCGCAUGGUCGAGUGAAGAAAGAAUUUCGCUCUGAGAGGGUCUCGCGGCCUAUCAGCUUGUUGGUGGGGUAACGGCCUACCAAGGCAACGACGGGUAGCUGGUUUGAGAGAACGAUCAGCCACACUGGGACUGAGACACGGCCCAGACUCCUACGGGAGGCAGCAGUGGGGAAUCUUGCGCAAUGGGCGAAAGCCUGACGCAGCAACGCCGCGUGCGGGAUGACGGCCUUCGUGGUUGUAAACCGCUUUCAGCAGGGACGAAAAUGACGGUACCUGCAGAAGAAGCCCCGGCUAACUACGUG
This 461-nucleotide ribosomal RNA is filed under the name uncultured bacterium. RNAcentral describes it as "bacterial SSU rRNA". It matches the Rfam family "Bacterial small subunit ribosomal RNA", at positions 34 to 507 of the family's 1533-position model. The record is from RNAcentral.